GCUCCGUUAGCUCAGUGGUAGAGCGCUCCCCCGACACGGGAGAGGUCCGGCGUUCGAACCGCCGACGGAGCA
This 72-nucleotide transfer RNA is filed under the name Allobosea sp. RAC05. Its description in RNAcentral is "Bosea sp. RAC05 tRNA". It matches the Rfam family "tRNA". From Rfam's summary of the family: Transfer RNA (tRNA) molecules are approximately 80 nucleotides in length. Their secondary structure includes four short double-helical elements and three loops (D, anti-codon, and T loops). The record is from Rfam by way of RNAcentral. Lineage: Bacteria; Pseudomonadati; Pseudomonadota; Alphaproteobacteria; Hyphomicrobiales; Alloboseaceae.